AGUGAACGCUGGCGGUAGGCCUAACACAUGCAAGUCGAACGGCAGCACAGGAGAGCUUGCUCUCUGGGUGGCGAGUGGCGGACGGGUGAGGAAUACAUCGGAAUCUACUCUGUCGUGGGGGAUAACGUAGGGAAACUUACGCCAAUACCGCAUACGACCUACGGGUGAAAGCAGGGGACCUUCGGGCCUUGCGCGAUUGAAUGAGCCGAUGUCGGAUUAGCUAGUUGGCGAGGUAAAGGCCCACCAAGGCGACGAUCCGUAGCUGGUCUGAGAGGAUGAUCAGCCACACUGGAACUGAGACACGGUCCAGACUCCUACGGGAGGCAGCAGUGGGGAAUAUUGGACAAUGGGCGCAAGCCUGAUCCAGCCAUACCGCGUGGGUGAAGAAGGCCUUCGGGUUGUAAAGCCCUUUUGUUGGGAAAGAAAUCCAGCUGGCUAAUACCCGGUUGGGAUGACGGUACCCAAAGAAUAAGCACCGGCUAACUUCGUGCCAGCAGCCGCCGUAA
RNAcentral lists this ribosomal RNA (506 nucleotides) under uncultured bacterium. Its description in RNAcentral is "partial 16S ribosomal RNA". It matches the Rfam family "Bacterial small subunit ribosomal RNA", at positions 29 to 523 of the family's 1533-position model. The record is from RNAcentral.